This 277-nucleotide long non-coding RNA is filed under the name Gossypium barbadense (sea-island cotton). RNAcentral's name for it is "long non-coding RNA (GBAR_LNC022265)". Lineage: Eukaryota; Viridiplantae; Streptophyta; Magnoliopsida; Malvales; Malvaceae. The record is from RNAcentral.
AAAAGCCUUGCCAUGAAUUAAUUGAUCUAGAAGGCAAGUAGAAUAACCAAUCUUUUGCGUGGUCGGCUAAUGAAAAUUGGAAGGCACGUAGUUUGAUUUGAUCUUUGGUGAUGCCUUACAGUCUCAUGCUCAAACAAAAAAUGUGGAACUCCUUCAAAUGUUUGUGAGGAUAUUCAUUCUCAAGUCUGCGGAAGGUCGGGAGUAAAAGGAUAAGCCCAGACUUGAGUGCAAACGGCACCUCUGGAUCGCGAUAAUCAAAGUACAAUGGUUGUUGCGC